RNAcentral lists this long non-coding RNA (820 nucleotides) under Nicotiana benthamiana. RNAcentral's name for it is "long non-coding RNA (NBEN_LNC035121)". The record is from RNAcentral. Lineage: Eukaryota; Viridiplantae; Streptophyta; Magnoliopsida; Solanales; Solanaceae.
UUAAAUAGUCAUCUUUACUUGCUAUAUGCCUUUGGUUGUUACUGGUAUGAAAUCCCUUUGUCUCUUGAGUUGGUCUGCUAUCAUGUUAAUAUUAGCCUCCUGAUUCUAAAAUCCUAGUUUGAUGAUCCUUCAGUAAUGAGAUUUUUUAUGGUUUGUUGUUCUUCAUUUCCUGAUCUUCAUUUGUUUUAUUUCCUGAUACUCUGAUUAGUUUAGUAGGGGUUUAUCUUCUGGUUCAUGUUUAUGCUACUGAGUAUUUGUUUUCAUCUCAUAGUAACUUUGAUCUUCAGUACUUGCACGUAUUGGGCUAUCCUAUUCUUGCUGAACCUUUAGUUGCUAAUAUUAGCCUUUACUUUCCUUAUUUGAUUCAUGAACUAAGUGUUCAAUUCCUGCGUGUUUCUCAUUAUCAAGUUUUUCAGAGUUUUUUAAUUGGAAUAUUUUUGUGAGUUAAGUGUUAAUGGAUGGUUUCCCUCUUCUGGUCAUUUUGAUUCAUUGUUUUUGACAUUGAAUGGUCAUCCAGAAUAAUGUUUGGUUGCUAAAAAUUCACAUUAAGAUACUAGUCAAAAACCUGAAUAAUACCGGCCAAUUCUUAAACUUCUAAUAAGCCUGUUAAUCCAGACCAGACCUUAGCCCAUAAAUCAAGUACAAUUGACCAGGGUUAAUGAAUAACUAAGGUUAAAACUUCAGGUUAGUUAAUUAGGAAAAAAAAUAGGGUUAUAAUGGGGAUUUGAGCCUUAAAAGAAUUUGGUAAUAACCCUUAGAACAUUCUAGUAAGGGACUUAGGCACAAUUUCAGCCUCAAACUUGAGGCACAAGUCAGGAAA